AGACGAACCGUCCAAACGUUAUUCGGAAUUACAGGGCUUAAAGGGUGCGUAGGCGGCGCGGUAAGUUGGGUGUGAAAUCCCUCGGCUUAACCGAGGAAUUGCGCCCAAUACUGCCGUGCUCGAGGGAGGCAGAGGGAAGCGGAACUCAUGGUGGAGCGGUGAAAUGCGUUGAUAUCAUGAGGAACACCAGUGGCGAAAGCGGCUUCCUGGGCCUCUUCUGACGCUGAGGCACGAAAGCUAGGGGAGCGAACGGGAUUAGAAACCCCAGUAGUCC
Molecule: ribosomal RNA, 274 nt
Filed under: uncultured bacterium
Lineage: Bacteria
Description: partial 16S ribosomal RNA
Rfam family: Bacterial small subunit ribosomal RNA
Source: RNAcentral